Triticum aestivum (bread wheat) is the source of this 117-nucleotide non-coding RNA. The record is from Rfam. Lineage: Eukaryota; Viridiplantae; Streptophyta; Magnoliopsida; Poales; Poaceae.
AAACUACUCCCUCUGUCCCAAAUUUCUUGUCUUAGAUUUGUCUAGAUACGGAUGUACUAGAUACAUCCGUAUCUAGACAAAUCUAAGAAAAGAAUUUUGGGACGGAGGGAGUACUUU